This 565-nucleotide unclassified non-coding RNA is filed under the name Hevea brasiliensis (rubber tree). Lineage: Eukaryota; Viridiplantae; Streptophyta; Magnoliopsida; Malpighiales; Euphorbiaceae. The record is from RNAcentral.
UGGGUUACCAGGAGAAGGAGGAUUCUGAUUCAGCAGUGAUGCAUACGAACCAGCUUUGGCAAUAGCAUUAGGGUCAGCAACAGAUAGUACUUCCACCGCUUCAAGACCAAUUUGUCUCUUAAUCAAAUCCAAGUUCUCUUGAAGGACCUCAAUCUCUCCAAAUGGCAGCCUCAGAUCCAAGGCCUGAGGCCCAAUUGCAAUGGCCUCAUCCUUCUUGAACCUCAAGAAAGGCAUGCAAAGUUUUUGUGUUUGUUUAAAAUUUGUGGCCUGGCCAACAGAACUAUUCUUUAGUGCCUCCAUUAUCUCCCCAUCAGGGGCAAAAGCACAGGUCUUAUGGUCAAAUUUUCUUUGGAGUAUCCUCAAGCAUUCUGCCUUCCAUCCUUCAAAUUCCUCAUUCACAUAUAUCAAACCUGUUAUCUUGUCUUGAGUUAGUGUUGCGACUGGAGGUCCCUUCUUAUUCCCUUUCUUUGAACCUAGGAGUUGUUUUUGAAGCAGCUUCCUCAUCAGAACAAUCGAGUCCUGCAAGUACUUGUUGGCAGCCUUCAAAGUUAGAUCAGGAGAACCA